AAACUUACGAGGAUUCCCCUAGUAACGGCGAGCGAACCGGGAAUUGCCCAGCAUGGAAAUCGGGUUGCUAUGCAGCUCGAAUUGUAGUCUGGAGAAGCAUCCUCAGCGACGGACCGGGCCCAAGUCUCCUGGAAUGGGGCGCCAGGGAGGGUGAGAGCCCCGUUCGGCCUGAACCCUGUCGCAACACGAGGUGCUGUCAACGAGUCGGGUUGUUUGGGAAUGCAGCCCUAAUCGGGCGAUAAAUUCCGUCCAAGGCUAAAUAAGGGCGAGAGACCGAUAGCGAACAAGUACCGCGAGGGAAGGAUGAAAAGGACUUUGAAAAGAGAGUCAGAGAGUGCUUGAAAUUGUCGGGAGGGAAGCGGAUGGGGGCCGGCGGUGUGCCUCGGCCUGAAGCGGAACGGCAUACGUUGGUCCGUUGCUUGGCUCGAGGUGUGGAUCGUUGCAGACCUUAUCGCCAUGUAGAGCCUGGGCGAGUGAUGCCCACGGAGACACUGUCGUUAUGGUCGAUUAGCAGCAUGGCACGCGUCUUACGGACGGGCUUAACAGCUCUUGCGUGCUUAUUGCAACGAUCUGUGGGCUCCCCAUUCGAC
Molecule: ribosomal RNA, 590 nt
Filed under: Platanthera minor
Lineage: Eukaryota; Viridiplantae; Streptophyta; Magnoliopsida; Asparagales; Orchidaceae
Description: eukaryotic LSU rRNA
Rfam family: Eukaryotic large subunit ribosomal RNA
Source: RNAcentral